UACGGAGGGUGCAAGCGUUACUCGGAAUCACUGGGCGUAAAGAGCGCGUAGGCGGGAUAGCAAGUCAGAUGUGAAAUCCUAUGGCUUAACCAUAGAACUGCAUUUGAAACUGUUAUUCUAGAGUAUGGGAGAGGUAGGUGGAAUUCUUGGUGUAGGGGUAAAAUCCGUAGAGAUCAAGAGGAAUACUCAUUGCGAAGGCAGCUUACUAAGCCAUAACUGACACUGAAGCACGAAAGCGUGGGGAUCAAACAGG
RNAcentral lists this ribosomal RNA (253 nucleotides) under uncultured Helicobacteraceae bacterium. RNAcentral describes it as "partial 16S ribosomal RNA". It matches the Rfam family "Bacterial small subunit ribosomal RNA", at positions 524 to 776 of the family's 1533-position model. The record is from RNAcentral. Lineage: Bacteria; Pseudomonadati; Campylobacterota; Epsilonproteobacteria; Campylobacterales; Helicobacteraceae.